This 422-nucleotide ribosomal RNA is filed under the name uncultured prokaryote. RNAcentral's name for it is "bacterial SSU rRNA". It matches the Rfam family "Bacterial small subunit ribosomal RNA", at positions 355 to 774 of the family's 1533-position model. The record is from RNAcentral.
UGAGGAAUAUUGGACAAUGGAUGGAAAUCUGAUCCAGCCAUGCCGCGUGCAGGAAGACGGCCCUAUGGGUUGUAAACUGCUUUUGUAUGGGAGCAAUAAGGUCUUCGUGAAGGCCGAUGAGGGUACCAUACGAAUAAGCACCGGCUAACUCCGUGCCAGCAGCCGCGGUAAUACGGAGGGUGCAAGCGUUAUCCGGAUUUAUUGGGUUUAAAGGGUGCGUAGGCGGUUAUAUAAGUCAGCGGUGAAAUUUUUCAGCUUAACUGGAAACAUGCCGUUGAUACUGUAUAGCUUGAAUAUGGUUGCUGUGAGUGGAAUGUGUAGUGUAGCGGUGAAAUGCUUAGAUAUUACACAGAAUAUCGAUUGCGAAGGCAACUCACAAAGCCAUUAUUGACGCUGAGGCACGAAAGUGUGGGGAUCGAACA